AAGAAAUUAAAAGUCGAACAGACUUUAUUUUUAAACUGCUGCACCUAAAAUAAAUCUUAAUUCAACAUCGAGGUCGCAAUCAUUUUUAUCGAUAUGAACUCUCUAAAAAUAUAACG
This 116-nucleotide ribosomal RNA is filed under the name Psychodidae sp. CH-2014. Its description in RNAcentral is "partial 16S ribosomal RNA". Lineage: Eukaryota; Metazoa; Arthropoda; Insecta; Diptera; Psychodidae. The record is from RNAcentral.